RNAcentral lists this long non-coding RNA (911 nucleotides) under Sarcophilus harrisii (Tasmanian devil). RNAcentral describes it as "lncRNA (ENSSHAG00000030286.1)". The record is from RNAcentral. Lineage: Eukaryota; Metazoa; Chordata; Mammalia; Dasyuromorphia; Dasyuridae.
GUAGUUUUCAUCUAUGUCAAUUAUUCACUGUGUAAUUAAAGGAAUGUACCCAUUUUUCAUGGUAUUCUGCCUUAGUAACAAUAAUUGGCUGCUCAAGGACUUUAGUUUAUUAAUUCUAUUGCAAUUAUUGCUCUCACCACCAAUGAAACCUUGUGCUCUUCCUCCUAUUCCCUUUAUCUACACAUCUACUAUUGGGUACUAGAGAAAAGACAGCAUUUCCUAAGCAACUGCUACUGUCAUAAAGUUGCCGGGGUAACUUCUGUGCCUUCUGCUCUGUCACACAGAUUCAACAAUAACACAGGUUGGAGUAGAGGCCUGCCAAGUGGGUAGGUCACCAACUGAGGCAGGCAUAGGACCAGGAGUGGUUCAUGCCAAGAGUGAAGCCUUCCUUAUCUGGAGUGGGACUCACAGCUCCUGAUCCCAGUCAGGAAUCCCUACCUUUUACCAGAACAGAGGCUGGGCAAUCCUAUGCAGGAAGCUAGUUACUCCCUCCAAGCUUGACCUGGUGAACAAGAAGCAUUUCUUUGUCAGAUGAAGGCAAAAUGUUAUUGUUGGAUCCUUCCUUAAGCAGAAACCUUGCAACUGACCCAUGAGUUUGUGUUCCUUACAACUUCCCCCCACAGGGGGCUGCCUGGAAUUCCUAGUGAUUGUGUUCAAGAAAGUCAUAAAGACAAAUAAUGUUGGAAUUAAAAACAACAAAAAUACACUGGGGAGCCUAUAGGAGCAACUAUAGACUCCUAGACAGCAUGGUGCUCAAUGCAGCAAAAGGAUUUUCCCACCAAUGCAAGCCUAUUAGUGACAGAUGCUUCCAGCCAGGCAGGUGGCCCUGGUCUGGUUAUCCAUGGCUUCUCCUAGUCAUCAGAUUCCUAGAAAAAUUGGUUUGAUCUCUUUCUUCCCCAAGGAGGAAUAUU